AAUCUUGCGCAAUGGGCGAAAGCCUGACGCAGCGACGCCGCGUGAGUGAAGAAGGCCNNNGGGUUNUCAAACUCUGUCCUCAGNGACNAAGCAAGUGACGGUACCUGAGGAGGAAGCCCCGGCUAACUACGUGCCAGCAGCCGCGGUAAUACGUAGGGGGCGAGCGUUGUCCGGAAUCAUUGGGCGUAAAGGGUGCGUAGGCGGCCUUUUAAGUCAGAUGUGAAAGGCUACGGCUUAACCGUAGUUAGCAUUUGAAACUAAAAGGCUUGAGUGCAGGAGAGGAGAGUGGAAUUCCUAGUGUAGCGGUGAAAUGCGUAGAUAUUAGGAGGAACACCAGUGGCGAAGGCGACUCUCUGGACUGCAACUGACGCUGAGGCACGAAAGCGUGGGGAGCGAACA
RNAcentral lists this ribosomal RNA (399 nucleotides) under uncultured bacterium. Its description in RNAcentral is "partial 16S ribosomal RNA". It matches the Rfam family "Bacterial small subunit ribosomal RNA", at positions 360 to 774 of the family's 1533-position model. The record is from RNAcentral.